AGCAUGACUGAUUGCGGUUAAUGUGUGUUGCAGGUAUAAAAAGGAAUCAUACAUGCGUAUAUCACAGAUUUUGGUACCUCAGGCAGAUUACAUGUCUAUGUCAAAUUAAAACUGCAAGGACAAAAUUAGAAAAUGAUGUACCUAAUUAAACAAAAAGGUGGCACUGCGAAAGAGAGACUGGGUGCCAGUAUCAAGAGACAUGGUGCGAUACAGAUGCUACUUGGUCUUGGCUGUUUGAUUGUAGGUGUUGUUUCAAUUGGAAUAGACAGAAAACAGUUCGACAUACCAGUUAGAGAAGUCUUAGAAGGAGGAAGAGUGAUAAAUGGCACUUCCUUUGACAUCAAAAAUGUUGUUCUUGGACUAGAUGCAGGUGCUGUAGUUUCUGCUUUUUGGUACACAGUUCACUGACCGAAAGAAGAGGAUAUGAUUCCAUUAUCACUUAUUUGUCCUGAUCACAGGAGCAGUUCCAGCUUAUAUGGCUAGGAAUACUGAUUACAAUUUGAUUAAAACGAAAGUGGUUUUCAUGGUAUUCAGCAUAAUGGCAGCAUCACUGUUUGUACCUAUCAUAACCGGAGCUGCGAUUGCCACCUACGUGCUCCGUAAAAGUCACAUGGGAUUGACUGUUGCUUUAGGUGUGAUGUCCCUUCUAGAAUUUAUAGUUGCCAUUCAAUCAUCGGUCUACUGCUGCUCAUCGCCUUGGGCUGCUUGCAAGAUGGAAAAAAGGGAUAAAGAAAAGAAAGACAUGGAAAAUGAAAUCUACGAAAAACAGAUGUCCAAAGAACAGCUACCGGAAUACACCCCAUAGAUACCUUAUUUUAACCUAGAGGACUGCAUGAAGAUUACACAAAAUCCCAACAAUCAAGUUUUACGCUUUGAAUUUUAUAUGCCUGUCAUUGUCUAUGCCUGUCAUCGUAAUAUUUUGUAUGCUAGCAGCACUAUAUCGAAUGAAAAUAUGAUAUAUAUAAAAAUAUAUAUGCAUUAUGUAUACAAAUUUUUUUUAAUGAUCCAAGAACUGUAAAUUGUGAAUCUUGACGAUUUUGUGAAACAUAACAGCAUUGAAAGGAUC
RNA transcript from Mytilus californianus (California mussel), 1066 nucleotides. RefSeq lists it as uncharacterized. Lineage: Eukaryota; Metazoa; Mollusca; Bivalvia; Mytilida; Mytilidae. The transcript is spliced from 8 exons. The record is from RefSeq and is a predicted model, not a curated record.